Chinchilla lanigera (long-tailed chinchilla) is the source of this 604-nucleotide long non-coding RNA. RefSeq lists it as uncharacterized. The record is from RefSeq and is a predicted model, not a curated record. Lineage: Eukaryota; Metazoa; Chordata; Mammalia; Rodentia; Chinchillidae. The transcript is spliced from 3 exons.
CGCUGGGGGUUCCGCGGAGGCGCGCCGGCCGGCUUUCAACGCGGGCGGCGGCCGAGCACGGACUCGGGGCCUGCUGCCGGGCGCCAAGAGCGCCCGAUGGCUUCUCUGUCCUCACAGCUUCCCCACACGGCCCCGCAGUCCGCCCUGCUUCCUUCCUGGCUUGUGACUAGAACGCAGCCGCAGGCGGAAGCGCGGUGACGCCAUCAGGAGGCGCCGGAGCGGCGGCGCGCGGGGCUAGGGGGCGAGGGGCGAGGGCCGGCGGGCUACGGGCUGGCGGAGGCCAGGUGGGCGAGGGAGGAGAGCGCAGGCUGUCGGCGAGCUCAUAGGUCACAUUUGGAUCGAAUGAAGAGAGCUGCACAUUAUUUGAAGACAGAUUUUCUCCCUUGAAAUAAAUGGUCUAUGUAUGGAAAAAGAGUGCUGGCCCAUAAAAACAUCUCGUGAACAAUUUUCCUUGAUCUCUGUACUCCCCACCAACUUGAAGCAAAUGAACACAUUUUUUGGAAGCAAUGUGUUGAAGACGGUGAAGCUGUAACAUAGGAGAUUGAUAUCUUGAAUCUUCACUUGAAGAAUAGCUGCUUGCCAAUUAGAAACUUUGUGUUACACA